CUGGCGUUCCGCCCUUCCGCGGCUCCGCGCCCGGCGUCUUGGUGCGCCGCACGGACCCUGAGGACCUGGAGUUCUGUACGCACGGCUCGUUGCGAGCGGCGCGGUCCUCGGGAUGCGCUCGCGCUGCCUCGUGGGCGCCCGCCGGCCAGGAAGGAGGCCAUGGACAGGACCAGGCGAGCUAGUGAGGCCUUGCAGAUGGAGGGAACCUGCAGUCCUUGCCCGUGGAACCGCGCAGGUGAAAGGGUGGACCGUCCUCUGCAGUUGCAGCCGCCUGCGGGGGCACGCGGUGCUGGGGCUUCCAGGAGCUGCCCCGCGGAGCUCAAAUGCCCGUGGCACGGCGCUCAGCCUGAGUCCACAUUGACACUUCACGGAGGCCAAGAACACACAGAUACUACGCGGACAACUAAGGGUAAGGAAGGCUUCUCAGAAUGCCUUAGAAUGUCAGGUACUGUGAUUUUAUUUUCUAAGAAUUGCUAGUGUAAACCGGUCGCGGUGGCGCAUGCCUCUAAUUCCAGCAGCUCGAGAAGCUGAGGCAGGAGGAUUGCGAGUUAAAAGCCAGCCUCUGCAAAAGCGAGGCGCUAAACAACUCAGUGCUUACCAAAAAAAAAAAAAAAAAAAAGGACUAGGGAAGUGGCUCAGUGGUCGAGUGCCCUUGAGUUCAAUCCUGGCACCCUGGUACCCGCGGCCCCCAAGAAAAGAAUUGCUUGUGUAAGCCACUAAAUUGAUUUGUAUAGGAUUUGAACCGUGGUUACGCAAAUGCAGGGGAGAUAAUGCACGUAGGUCUUUGUUUUGGGUUUUUGUUUUCUUUUCUGUUUUGUGUUGGUGCUGGGGAUUAAACUCAGGGGUGCUCAACAGCCCCAGCCCUUUUUCUUCUUUUUUGAGAUAGUCGUUGAUAAGUCUGGCAUGGAGUUUCUGAUCCUCCUGCCUCAGCUUCCCCAGUUGCUAGAUUAUAGAUGUGAGCCACUGUGCCCAGCAACGCCAGUCGUGUUACAUCUGAUCAAUAACAAACAUACCAAAAGUUGGCAAUGAAAUUCUGUUUUUCUUAAAAGCCCAAUAAAGGACACAAAUGCUUAAAUGUGGCUUCUUACUAACUAGAGUUGAUAGCUUUCCUGAGAGAAUAGUUUUAGGGAUGAGGGUAGGUGAGGGAGGUUCUGAAAACCCAUUCCCAAGAAGAGUCUGAAGAGUCAUAGCACUGGUGCCAGGAGGUGCCAGGAGAUGCAGGGUGAGCACAAGACAGGAGGGAAAACAAAAACCUGGGUCACAUGGGCAGCAGUUUGAUCCUGCACUUCCCAGGGAUGCGGAAAGCCAUUAUCUGACCCUGACCUUGGGCAGACUGAGGGGCACAGAGUGAGGCCGUGGUCGUGCUGGCAUCAUUAGUUUGGUCUCUGUCUAGAGGACCAGGAUACCCCUUAUUGGGGAGUGGCAGCUUGGUAAGUUAAUGGUAGGCAACUCCCAGUUUUUCUGCCUAAGCCAAAAGGGCUUUCAGCUUCAGCAUGCUGCUGAAACGUGGUGCCCUUGAGACUCUGCCGUCACACACUGUAUAUUCACUACUUUGUACUGUAGCAGUACCCCACGUGCUACCUGGGGACAGCAGUGUGUGGUAUGUGGAUUUCAGAGAUGGAAAUGAGACCUGUGUUCCACAAAAUUAGUGAAAUAAAGAUCUCAGGAGUUGGACCUCCUGAAGCUGAAGCCCUUGGCACCUCCCUGAGUGCCUAGUGCUUAGUCUUCAACUGAUGUCGAGUGCCUUCUCUGGGGCGGAGGCUGAGGCUGACCAGGGGACACUGGGGUGGCCCCAGUUACUCACUUUCUGUCAGCUGUGCAGCCACUAGGCAAAAUCUUCAUGGAACUAGAUGUGCACAAAUCAGUGACUUCAGCUAGUCAUCAGAACAGGAGAGCCAGUGAGGCCAUCAGGUGGAGGGAACCUGCAGUCCUUGCCCGUGGAACCGCGCAGGUAAAGGGUGGGCCGUCAGCAGCAGCAGCCCGAGGGGCACACGGUGCUGGGGCUUCCGGGAGCUGCAGUGCGGGCUCAGGUGCCCUGGUGCCCUUGGUAAGAGCAGGCUGGGGGUCCGCCCCAGCACCCGGCCUGGAGGCCUCAGCCAGCAGGGUCCACUGCCUUCACAUUCAGGUGCCCACUACAGCGCGGGUUCCCAGUCUGUCCAGACCAGGCACCUGUGAAGACGAGGCUGGCUCUGCAUUUAUACCAAUUUUUAUUCAUGAUAAAUUUUGUAGAUUUCUUUUAUAAAAGCAUUAAAGUCUGGACAAUCCAGAUUUUACAGUGACUGGAGUAAUGAAAUAGCUACACAUUUGAAAAUCAAGGUAACCUUUAAUACAUAUAAUUUUUCAUACAAACUUUUGACUUUUAAAAUAGUGGCUUGCUAUUUUACAAAAAAAGUUCAAUAAAAAUCCUUAAUUUAGAUGUUAUACCAUAGUCUAGUGGGAACAGGGAGGAGGGAGCUGUGGAAGAGACCCAGGCCACACUCCACAGCCCUGGUCCCUUACCCUGCCCGCUGCAGUGAGUGUACUUUGGGUUUUUAAAAAAAUUGUCUUAAGUCAAAUGCAAUUUCUUCUAAAACUUGUUUCAAAAGCCACUUCACGACUGUUCUUUCAACAAAGACUAAAGGCAAGGACCUUGCUGUAUCAGAACUUGAGAAGCGGUGAGUCCACAUUCUCCUUGUCAGCCUCAGGGCUCAGCUGGACCAGAGGGGAGCCCAGGUCGAUCAGCUGGAAGGGCAGAGACAACAAGGUGAGCGGAGCUGCCCUGGGCAGGCCAACAACUCAGCCCCCUGGAUCACCCGGUUCAGGUCCACUUAAAGGAAACCUCGACCAUCACAUCUAAGCCCACACACACUGACCCCAGGCCCUCACAUACUCAUGCUUCUUCCCAGCUCCGCACACCAGGGGGGUGUGGAGUUGGGAACAUGACCCCUGCCCCCAAGGCCUGGCAGGAGUUCACCACUCAGCAUCAGAGGGUGAACUUCAAGAAGCUCAGGCCAAGCAAGAAGCCUCAGGGCCACCAUGCCAUGCCCUGGGGCGAGGAACCAAACCAGGCUGAAGCCAGCAGGAAUCACCUGCCACUUCUCACCUGUCCCUCGGCCUGCAAAGGUUUUGACACACUGUUUUUUGACACGCUGUUUCUGUUCACAUCUGGAGUGUUCGUGGUGAGGUCGAUCAGGGGUCUGCUUGCAGAUCCCAAAGCCACAUCUGCUUCAGGAGGGCUGCAGAAGUCGAUGAGGGGGAGAUCUGCCGGGGGCCUGCUUCCCACUUGAGGAGUGAUGGUGAGCUGACCCAGCCCGAUGUCUAUGAGAAGAGCCUAGGCAGGACAGACGGAAGGUGGUCCAGCACUGUUCUGCCCUGCUCAUGUCCCGAGGGUCCACAGCUGGAGCCAAAGAAAGAGGCUGGGCCUGCCGCAGCAGGGUGCACCAGUCCACCCACCUCGCACACAGGACUGCCCUGCUCCCACUUCCUGUCCUUUGGCUCUGAUCAGCUCCGCGGCCAAACACAGGCAAAGGCUCAGGACACUCCGAGGACAAGUUUCCUAUACUCUGCAGUCACUUUACCACUGGGCCCUCCUCUCUUUGGGGCAGCCCAUCUUCUUCCAGACUGCUUCCUGAGUGACCACACCCUCCCUGGCAAGGGGACAGUCUUGAGGUCUGGGCCACUAGAGACGACCUUGCUUGUCACCUGUCUCACCUCACAGCAGAUCUCCUCUGAGGCUCAGAAGAGAGUCUCCGAGCAGGUGCACAGAGCGGGGAAGCCAGAGCUCGGGGCAAGGUUUUGGGAGUCAUCAGAGGAAGGCCAGAGAGGCGCCAGCCGCCAGGUGUGGGCAGUGCUGACACCCGUCGCGCACUCGUGGGCGUCCCUCUGCUGCUCAACAGGCUUUGUGAAGUUGGCCCUGAUGAACGUCUUGCAGGAGUGCUGUGAGCAAUGGCCCUGGUGAAGACAAAGAAGAGCCCUGAGCAGAGACGGCCUCGACAGACUGGAAUCCAAUGAGCCAGCGUGCUGACGCAGAGCAAGUCCACGGUUUCAACAGGCGCCAGACCCCAAGCUGCUGCCAGGCCACCACGAGACCUCUGGUGGGUAGAGCUCCCCCCACCCACAGGCAAGGAAGAGAGAAUCUCGUCAGAUGUGGCUGUACUUCACAGGGGUAGGAAAACACAUGGAAGUCAAAAGAAUCUCAGCGGUCACUUUUUUAAAUAUAUUUUUUAGUUGUGGAUGGAUACAA
Long non-coding RNA from Marmota monax (woodchuck), 4222 nucleotides. RefSeq lists it as uncharacterized. Lineage: Eukaryota; Metazoa; Chordata; Mammalia; Rodentia; Sciuridae. The transcript has 3 exons. The record is from RefSeq and is a predicted model, not a curated record.